Molecule: long non-coding RNA, 1166 nt
Organism: Tupaia belangeri chinensis (Chinese tree shrew)
Lineage: Eukaryota; Metazoa; Chordata; Mammalia; Scandentia; Tupaiidae
Exons: 4
Source: RefSeq, a predicted model, not a curated record
GUAACUGAACAAAUAGAACCUUCAUGAACUCUGUACAUUGUCCAAGCUAGCCCACAGGAUGGCUGUAGCUAUUUUGCUCUGGGAAGAUAUACUGAGAAGACCAAGCCACCUUUGCUCAAAGGACUCCUGGCCCUGAUGGGCUUGGCACCUGUACUUCACAGCUUGGCUCUUGUUCUGAGAACUGAAAUUACUUUGCGUGGACUGUAAAACUAGUGCCAGAACAAUACUGCAGCCUCAAGACUCCAAGUCAUUCUCAAGAGCGGCUUCUCUCCUUAGGCUUAAAGGCUCCCUGUGUUCUUGUUAGAACUUACGGAAGUCAUCUUGGGUUCUAGAAUUUUUGCAGAAGAAUUGGAAGACUUGGGCCAGAGCAGAUGUAAAGGACCAAAAAGUACAAACACUUAUUUCUGCUAUAAGUAGACCCAGGCCUGGAUUAAAUGUGCCAUCUAAUCAUCCAUGAAGGUAAUGUAGACUUAUGCCUUGCUCAGUUGAUCCAGGUGAAACCUUCUCAGACUUGGAAUGGAAGCCAAUGAGGCAAAGGUUCUGGGACUUGUGCAUGGCAAUCUUUCCAAAAGUGUGACAGUUGCAACAAGACCAAGCUCGGGCAGCACUUGAAAUUGCCACUCCCUUAUCCUACCAAUAGGAUAGUAUUUUGUGAUCAAUGGAGUGUCCUCAGAGUGCAUCUGACAGAGGGAUACCUUCUUGGCAUGAGUAAAGCAAUAAACAGAAGCCCAUGGAAUAUCUCAUUGUACAGUUCAUCUUCUGGAAGAAACUGGCCUUCAAGAAUGGUGGGAAGCCUUCUGAAAUCACCAUAGGGCACCAUGUAGGACUCAUUGCUUGGAAGGGCUGGAGACCCUUCCUUGGGGAUGUGGUACAUGUUCUGAGCCAGAGGCUACUGUGACGGUGUUUCCUCCUGGUCAGACUGUGAGGGUCAACGUACUGAACAGUGAAGAUGGAUAUGGCCCCUCUCCCUGUAACAAGAAUCCUACAUAUAAAACUCAAUUUCCAUCGUGGGUUUUCUAGGCUCUGCUGGUUUAGAGACCUCAGCGAUUCAUGGAGGAAUGCUUCUACCAAGAAACAUACUUCUACCAUUGAUGUAGUAGGGGAGACAGCCCCUGGUCAUUCAUAUGUUACUUUGAACCUACAAAUAAAGAAGCAUUAUAAUGUUG